Molecule: ribosomal RNA, 292 nt
Filed under: uncultured bacterium
Lineage: Bacteria
Description: partial 16S ribosomal RNA
Rfam family: Bacterial small subunit ribosomal RNA
Source: RNAcentral
GUGUCAGCAGCCGCGGUAAUACGGAGGGUACAAACGUUAAUCGGAAUUACUGGGCGUAAAGCGCGCGUAGGCGGUUCGGUAAGUGGGAUGUGAAAGCCCUGGGCUCAACCUGGGAACUGCAUUCCAAACUGCCGAGCUAGAGUAUGGUAGAGGGAGGUAGAAUUUCCUGUGUAGCGGUGAAAUGCGUAGAUAUAGGAAGGAAUACCAGUGGCGAAGGCGGCCUCCUGGAUCAAUACUGACGCUGAGGUGCGAAAGCGUGGGGAGCAAACAGGAUUAGAUACCCGCGUAGUCC